RNAcentral lists this ribosomal RNA (427 nucleotides) under uncultured bacterium. Its description in RNAcentral is "partial 16S ribosomal RNA". It matches the Rfam family "Bacterial small subunit ribosomal RNA", at positions 355 to 774 of the family's 1533-position model. The record is from RNAcentral.
UGGGGAAUAUUGGACAAUGGGGGCAACCCUGAUCCAGCCAUGCCGCGUGUGUGAAGAAGGCCUUUUGGUUGUAAAGCACUUUAAGCAGUGAAGAAGACUCCAUGGUUAAUACCCAUGGACGAUGACAUUAGCUGCAGAAUAAGCACCGGCUAACUCUGUGCCAGCAGCCGCGGUAAUACAGAGGGUGCAAGCGUUAAUCGGAAUUACUGGGCGUAAAGCGAGCGUAGGUGGCUUGAAAAGUCAGAUGUGAAAGCCCCGGGCUUAACCUGGGAACGGCAUCUGAUACUGUUAGGCUAGAGUAGGUGAGAGGAAGGUAGAAUUCCAGGUGUAGCGGUGAAAUGCGUAGAGAUCUGGAGGAAUACCGAUGGCGAAGGCAGCCUUCUGGCAUCAUACUGACACUGAGGUUCGAAAGCGUGGGUAGCAAACA